CCUACGGGAGGCUGCAGUGGGGAAUAUUGCACAAUGGGCGCAAGCCUGAUGCAGCCAUGCCGCGUGUGUGGAGAAGGCCUUCGGGUUGUAAAGCACUUUCAGCGGGGAGGAAGGCGGUGAGGUUAAUAACCUCAUCGAUUGACGUUACCCGCAGAAGAAGCACCGGCUAACUCCGUGCCAGCGGCCGCGGUAAUACGGAGGGUGCAAGCGUUAAUCGGAAUUACUGGGCGUAAAGCGCACGCAGGCGGUCUGUCAAGUCGGAUGUGAAAUCCCCGGGCUCAACCUGGGAACUGCAUUCGAAACUGGCAGGCUAGAGUCUUGUAGAGGGGGGUAGAAUUCCAGGUGUAGCGGUGAAAUGCGUAGAGAUCUGGAGGAAUACCGGUGGCGAAGGCGGCCCCCUGGACAAAGACUGACGCUCAGGUGCGAAAGCGUGGGGAGCAAACAGGAUUAGAUACCCGUGUAGUC
This 465-nucleotide ribosomal RNA is filed under the name uncultured Klebsiella sp. RNAcentral describes it as "bacterial SSU rRNA". It matches the Rfam family "Bacterial small subunit ribosomal RNA", at positions 338 to 795 of the family's 1533-position model. The record is from RNAcentral. Lineage: Bacteria; Pseudomonadati; Pseudomonadota; Gammaproteobacteria; Enterobacterales; Enterobacteriaceae.